RNAcentral lists this long non-coding RNA (518 nucleotides) under Homo sapiens (human). Its description in RNAcentral is "HSALNT0192008". Lineage: Eukaryota; Metazoa; Chordata; Mammalia; Primates; Hominidae. The record is from RNAcentral.
UGGGUUUUUGCCAUGUUGGCGGUGCUGGCCUCUAACUCCUGACCUUAAGUGAUCCGCCUGCCUCAGCCCCCCAAAGUGCUGGGAUUACAGGCAUGAGCCACUGCGUCCGGCUGAAUUGUUAACUUUCUUUCAUUGUUUUAGAAGAAACAUAACUCAUUUUCACCUGGGCAGGGAGAAUGUAUCCCAGAGAUAGCAGAAGAGAAUCUUCCUGACCAGUUGACAAUCACUGCUUCACUUGUCCUGCUUCACGUUUUUGCAUCCACUUCUGUGGUUUUUGCUACCACCUACAGAAGACUGACUUCCAAAUGAUGCCUACUAGAAAUGUGAACCUGGAUAUUCCACUGUGUCUGAAAUGCAGUUUCUAAAUACCAGUUCUCUCACCCUCCCUCCCUUUCCUCCUAAAUUUUAUUCUUAGUAAAUGACACCUAUUUCUCCGGUUUUAAUUUCCUUUCCUCUCUUUUCCCCUCCACUGCAAUAAGCUCUCUGGCACUGAAACUUGAACUGAUGUGAUCACCAAU